AAUUUUUCCACACUACAAUAAUUUUUAUACUACAGCACAGAACUCUAAGGUGCUAUAACUAAAGAAUUACAAAUCUGUUUAUCAUGAACUAAUAAUUAGAAAAGCAUUUACGACAAUCACAGGUUGUUGUUAGAUAUUUUAAAAAAAUAAAGGUCACGAAUUCUGUUGUAUUACAGAUUCGUUAAAGGUUCGAAUGCGCUACCUUGCUCGGAUUAGCGCUUGUACUUAAUUGUUAAGAUUGCGAUUUAGUUUAUUGUUCUAAGUGUUAUGGUUGUUAGUAUAGACCAACAAGACAUUCUUUAAAGCUGGCUACAAUACUAGUGGGCCGACACUAAGUCAAUUGUCGAUCUGUGAAUCAUGACUGGGAAGCAGUGAACAAUUAAGAAAUAUAAUAGAUAAAGACUGAUCUACGGAGUCAAUUCUUGAUAAUAUUCAUCCUUUUCUCAAUACCACGCUAACCUUUAUGGCAACCUAGAUACUCUUGAAAUAUUGAACUACAGUGACCUACCAUUUAUAAAUUGUUAUAUUGCAAAUUGCCGAUCUAUACCGAGAAUAUCAAAGUAGUGCUGUAUAUUCAAUAUACCGAGCACUCGUUCGAGUUUCUACCAUUGUAACAUAUGACUUUUUAUCAGAUCAACAUGAUAUAUGUCAGCAAUGAUCAUUUACAACUCACAGCAUACCCCAUCGAUACAUUUUAUAAUGCCUUUCUUUCCAUAAAGUAACGUUUCGAUUGGAGGGCUUCCAGAGAGUGAGGCUCAGACAGUAAUGGAGGCUUGUGUAUUUAAAAUCAUACCAAUGCCAUUUGUUUUCCCUCCAUACUUCGUGAUUCUAAAUGAUCUGGUUAUUUAAUGAGUAAUUCCGCAAGUUUUCUUUCUAAUAAGGUUGAGAUACUGUGCGCAGAGGAGCUUGAUUAUUCUUUAGUGCACUUAUUUUAAAAGUACCCGUUUUAAGGUCAAUGAAUUUUGUUUUGUCUAAAAAUGUUUUCUUAGGCGCGAAGUAUAGUUUAAAGUUUAGGAUUCACGUAUUUCUCUAAUAAUGAAAUUCGCCAUGUAUUUAUUUAUUUCUGCACCUGUAUGCGAUUCGUAGGUUUGUCUGCCUACGGGAUUUUUCAGCUAGCACAAUAGACUCUUACUUCUCAUCUCUUGCGUGCUAUUUUUGUAAUUUCCCACCCUUCCUGAAUUUUGCUUAGUCCCAACUUAGGAGUUGUUGGAAAAUCUCCUUACCCGAUAAAAUGUGUUCCUAACCUGUCCCCUUUUACUAGCUGCGGCAAAACUGGCGCUAGUUCCGCUUCUCAAAUCUAUCUCAAUAUCGUCCGCCUUCGAAUUUGCGUUGGGACGAUAAACUUGUCUCAAAAAAAUCGAUCCACAAUUUUUUUUAUCUUCUUUUUUCACCGACGAGGCUCGUUUGGUCCACGCUAAAAUAUUGGUUUCCAUAUAUAUACAUACCUGACAUCCUGACAAACUAACAUUCGCUAAAUUCGUCGAAUUAUCAACGGGUGCAGAAUAUCUUUUACCACAUAUUUAGCAGCUCCUUAUCUUUAAGACUUCUUAUUCGGGGUAACGUGACUUUGACUUCAUUGUCUCACAAAAUUGCUACGACCAACCAACUACAAAUAUCACUCGUUCAAUUUUAAACUUGAACUUGUCGAAAGC
This 1652-nucleotide long non-coding RNA is filed under the name Schizosaccharomyces pombe (fission yeast). Its description in RNAcentral is "non-coding RNA, possible alternative UTR". Lineage: Eukaryota; Fungi; Ascomycota; Schizosaccharomycetes; Schizosaccharomycetales; Schizosaccharomycetaceae. The record is from RNAcentral.